RNAcentral lists this ribosomal RNA (254 nucleotides) under uncultured bacterium. RNAcentral's name for it is "partial 16S ribosomal RNA". It matches the Rfam family "Bacterial small subunit ribosomal RNA", at positions 524 to 776 of the family's 1533-position model. The record is from RNAcentral.
GACAGAGGGUGCAAACGUUGUUCGGAAUUACUGGGCGUAAAGCGCGUGUAGGCUGCCCCGAAAGUCAGGUGUGAAAGCCCUGGGCUCAACCCAGGAAGUGCACUUGAAACUUCGGUGGCUUGAGUUCUGGAGAGGAUGGCGGAAUUCUCGGUGUAGAGGUGAAAUUCGUAGAUAUCGAGAGGAACACCGGUGGCGAAGGCGGCAUUCUGGACCGACAUUGACGCUGAGGAGCGAAAGCCAGGGGAGCAAACGGG